AACGUACGCUGGCGGCACGCCUAACACAUGCAAGUCGAACGAAGUAGCAAUACUUAGUGGCAGACGGGUGAGUAACAUGUGGGUAUCUGCCCUUUGGCCUGGAAUAACACGAGGAAACUUGUGCUAAUACCGGAUAAGUCUUUACAGAGAAAGCUUUAUGCACCAUUGGAUGAGCCCGCACUUGAUUAGUUUGUUGGUGGGGUAAUGGCCUACCAAGACUAUGAUCAAUAGCUGAUUUGAGAGGAUGAUCAGCCACAUUGGGACUGAGACACGGCCCAAACUCCUACGGGAGGCAGCAGUGGGGAAUCUUGCACAAUGGAGGAAACUCUGAUGCAGCGAUGCCGCGUGAGUGAAGAAGGCCCUUGGGUUGUAAAGCUCUUUCGUCGGGGAAGAAAAUGACUGUACCCGAAUAAGAAGGUCCGGCUAACUUCGUGCCAGCAGCCGCGGUAAUACGAAGGGACCUAGCGUAGUUCGGAAUUACUGGGCUUAAAGAGUUCGUAGGUGGUUGAAAAAGUUGGUGGUGAAAUCCCAGAGCUUAACUCUGGAACUGCCAUCAAAACUUUUCAGCUAGAGUAUGAUAGAGGAAAGCAGAAUUUCUAGUGUAGAGGUGAAAUUCGUAGAUAUUAGAAAGAAUACCAAUUGCGAAGGCAGCUUUCUGGAUCAUUACUGACACUGAGGAACGAAAGCAUGGGUAGCGAAGAGGAUUAGAUACCCUCGUAGUCCAUGCCGUAAACGAUGUGUGUUAGACGUUGGAAAUUUAUUUUCAGUGUCGCAGCGAAAGCGAUAAACACACCGCCUGGGGAGUACGACCGCAAGGUUAAAACUCAAAUGAAUUGACGGGGACCCGCACAAGUAGUGGAGCAUGUGGUUUAAUUCGAAGAUACGCGCAGAACCUUACCGACACUUGACAUGUUCGUCGCGACUUUAAGAGAUUAAAGUUUUCGGUUCGGCCGGACGAAACACAGGUGCUGCAUGGCUGUCGUCAGCUCGUGUCGUGAGAUGUUGGGUUAAGUCCCGCAACGAGCGCAACCCUCACUUUUAGUUGCCAUCAUUUAGUUGGGCACUCUGAAAGAACUGCCAGUGAUAAGCUGGAGGAAGGUGGGGAUGACGUCAAGUCCUCAUGGCCCUUACGUGUUGGGCUACACACGUGCUACAAUGGUAUCUACAACAGGAAGCAAGACGGCGACGUCAAGCAAAUCCUUAAAAGAUACCUCAGUUCGGAUUGCACUCUGCAACUCGAGUGCAUGAAGCUGGAAUUACUAGUAAUCGUGGAUCAGCGUGCCACGGUGAAUGCGUUCCCGGGUCUUGUACACACCGCCCGUCACACCAUGGGAGUUGGUUCUACCUUAAGGCAAGGUUUAAAACCCUUGACCACGGUAUAGUCAGCGACUGGGGUGAAGUCGUAACAAGGUAGCCGUAGGGGAACCUGCGGCUGGAUUACCUCCUU
RNAcentral lists this ribosomal RNA (1447 nucleotides) under uncultured alpha proteobacterium MB11E07. RNAcentral's name for it is "bacterial SSU rRNA". It matches the Rfam family "Bacterial small subunit ribosomal RNA". Lineage: Bacteria; Pseudomonadati; Pseudomonadota; Alphaproteobacteria; Candidatus Pelagibacterales. The record is from RNAcentral.